This 715-nucleotide ribosomal RNA is filed under the name Pseudomonas aeruginosa. RNAcentral's name for it is "bacterial SSU rRNA". It matches the Rfam family "Bacterial small subunit ribosomal RNA", at positions 52 to 762 of the family's 1533-position model. The record is from RNAcentral. Lineage: Bacteria; Pseudomonadati; Pseudomonadota; Gammaproteobacteria; Pseudomonadales; Pseudomonadaceae.
CACAUGCAAGUCGAGCGGAUGAGUGGAGCUUGCUCCAUGAUUCAGCGGCGGACGGGUGAGUAAUGCCUAGGAAUCUGCCUGGUAGUGGGGGAUAACGUUUCGAAAGGAACGCUAAUACCGCAUACGUCCUACGGGAGAAAGUGGGGGAUCUUCGGACCUCACGCUAUCAGAUGAGCCUAGGUCGGAUUAGCUAGUUGGUGGGGUAAUGGCCCACCAAGGCGACGAUCCGUAACUGGUCUGAGAGGAUGAUCAGUCACACUGGAACUGAGACACGGUCCAGACUCCUACGGGAGGCAGCAGUGGGGAAUAUUGGACAAUGGGCGAAAGCCUGAUCCAGCCAUGCCGCGUGUGUGAAGAAGGUCUUCGGAUUGUAAAGCACUUUAAGUUGGGAGGAAGGGCAGUAAGUUAAUACCUUGGUGUUUUGACGUUACCAACAGAAUAAGCACCGGCUAACUUCGUGGCAGCAUCCGCGGUAAUACGAAGGGUGCAAGCGUUAAUCGGAAUUACUGGGCGUAAAGCGCGCGUAGGUGGUUCAGCAAGUUGGAUGUGAAAGCCCCGGGCUCAACCUGGGAAUUGCGUCCAAAACUACUGAGCUAGAGUACGGUAGAGAGGGGUGGAAUUUCCUGUGUAGCGGUGAAAUGCGUAGAUAUAGGAAGGAACACCAGUGGCGAAAGGGACCACCUGCACUGAUACUGACACUGAUGUGCGACAGCGU